This 427-nucleotide ribosomal RNA is filed under the name uncultured bacterium. RNAcentral's name for it is "partial 16S ribosomal RNA". It matches the Rfam family "Bacterial small subunit ribosomal RNA", at positions 338 to 795 of the family's 1533-position model. The record is from RNAcentral.
CCUACGGGAGGCUGCAGUAACGAAUCUUCGUCAAUGCACGAAAGUGUGAACGAGCGACGCCGCGUGGAGAUGAAGUCCUUCGGGAUGUAAACUCCUGUCAGGGGAAAGUCACCCCAGAGGAAGAGACGGCUAACUCUGUGCCAGCAGCCGCGGUAAUACAGAGGUCUCGAGCGUUAGGCGGAAUCACUGGGCUUAAAGCGUGUGUAGGCGGAUGCCUAAGUACCUUGUGAAAUCCCACGGCUUAACCGUGGAACUGCUUGGUAUACUGGGCAUCUUGAGCCACCUAGGGGCGGGCGGAACAGAUGGUGGAGCGGUGAAAUGCGUAGAUAUCAUAUGGAACGCCAAUGGUGAAAACAGCUCGCUGGGGGUGGCUGACGCUGAGACACGAAAGCCAGGGGAGCGAACGGGAUUAGAUACCCUGGUAGUC